UCCUUACAAGUGAAAUCCUGAACAAAUAAAGAAAGGCCAGGGAAAAUAAUCUAGAUAAACCUUGGAUAUAGGACUCUACCUAAAGUAGACAGAUCUCUACAUAACCAGUUAUCAAAAAGCAAUUUUGUUUUCUUAACUUCCUCCACAGCAGACUUCAACCCGACAGUCAAAGCAGCAUUACGUCAUGAAAGUGUGGACUUGGAGGAAGACAGCAAGAGCUUAGGAUUCCAUUUGGGACAGAGACUAUAAAGACUCCAUUGCAGAAGUCAAUCAUAUUGCCAGAAGGCGGAGCUUAAUAUCAAGAUGUUGUCAGGUUGUCAGAAUUCAAAGGCAUCCAGUCUGAAUGAUACUGAAGACUUUCAGAUUCUUCUUCAGAUAUCUGCUGUCAUGAUUAUUUUCACUCUCCUCAGUUUUUUGUGGAUGUUUAUUGGCCACACAGAGGCAGAUGUAAUAAACUCCUCGUCAGAGGAUGAAAAUAAACUUGUUGGUGACACUAUUACUCUGUCCUGCAGUUACAAAGACUAUACGGGUACUGUGAAUAGCUUACAAUGCUACAGACAAUAUCCCAGAUCCAAACCGGAGUUCCUCCUUUACAUCUUCCCACAUGGAGCUAUGAGUGAAGGUAGACCAGAGAGAUUUUCUGCUGAAGUUCAUCAAGAUAUUAAAAAAGUGGAUCUGAAGAUCUCCUCUGCUGUUCAGGCAGAUUCUGCCAUGUACUAUUGUGCCCUGGUGCCCACAGUGACAGGAAAUAUAACUGCAUCAUACAAAAACCCUCCCAUGAUCCCAUCAUCAAAGAAAGACAAAGCUCUAAACACUUACUUCAUCCUGUCUCAAAUGCAUCAUCACCACUAUAGUCUGUCCUUUUGAUGAAACA
Non-coding RNA from Megalobrama amblycephala (Wuchang bream), 874 nucleotides. NCBI's taxonomy places the organism in Eukaryota, Metazoa, Chordata, Actinopteri, Cypriniformes, Xenocyprididae. The record is from the annotation of a RefSeq genome assembly.